GCAGCCUGAUCCAGCCAUGCCGCGUGCAGGAUGACGGUCCUAUGGAUUGUAAACUGCUUUUGUACAGGAAGAAACAGUUCUACGUGUAGAACCUUGACGGUACUGUAAGAAUAAGGAUCGGCUAACUCCGUGCCAGCAGCCGCGGUAAUACGGAGGAUCCAAGCGUUAUCCGGAAUCAUUGGGUUUAAAGGGUCCGUAGGCGGUUAGAUAAGUCAGUGGUGAAAGCCCAUCGCUCAACGGUGGAACGGCCAUUGAUACUGUCUGACUUGAAUUAUUAGGAAGUAACUAGAAUAUGUAGUGUAGCGGUGAAAUGCUUAGAGAUUACAUGGAAUACCAAUUGCGAAGGCAGGUUACUACUAAUGGAUUGACGCUGAUGGACGAAAGCGUGGGUAGCGAACAGGAUUAGAUACCCUGGUAGUCCACGCCGUAAACGAUGGAUACUAGCUGUUGGGCGCAAGUUCAGUGGCUAAGCGAAAGUGAUAAGUAUCCCACCUGGGGAGUACGUUCGCAAGAAUGAAACUCAAAGGAAUUGACGGGGGCCCGCACAAGCGGUGGAGCAUGUGGUUUAAUUCGAUGAUACGCGAGGAACCUUACCAAGGCUUAAAUGUAGUUUGACCGGUUUGGAAACAGAUCUUUC
This 637-nucleotide ribosomal RNA is filed under the name Flavobacterium sp. Ri1Ps_4688. Its description in RNAcentral is "bacterial SSU rRNA". It matches the Rfam family "Bacterial small subunit ribosomal RNA", at positions 378 to 1016 of the family's 1533-position model. The record is from RNAcentral. RNAcentral also lists the same sequence under 1 other name. Lineage: Bacteria; Pseudomonadati; Bacteroidota; Flavobacteriia; Flavobacteriales; Flavobacteriaceae.